Molecule: long non-coding RNA, 451 nt
Organism: Hermetia illucens (black soldier fly)
Lineage: Eukaryota; Metazoa; Arthropoda; Insecta; Diptera; Stratiomyidae
Exons: 3
Source: RefSeq, a predicted model, not a curated record
CAGAGAUUCAGCCACGGAUCAGUUACACUCCGUGGCUAGUUUCGCUGUGGUGCAUUUUUCCACCUUAGGAGGCGCAGGCAAUAUGCAGUUAAAAUAUGGCAUUUGUUUGUAUAUAUUUUGUGGCACGAAGCCAGUUGCGACGUUGAAGAAAUUUGAAGCCUUCUUCACCUACAGGCUCACUUUGAAUUUCGAAUCGCUUGCUCAAUACUAGUUUCCUAGGCGCGCAUAUUUAGCCUUGAGAGGAUAUUCCAAUCAAAAGCUAAAAUCUCCAAAAAAAACUAAACUAACCAGAAAACUGUAGCUUGACCCUUCAGAACGAGAACUCUAUUGUUGAUGGUUGAUAAACUCAGUUUGCUUUACAGUUUGUAUUCAAGGCCUGAGUAGAGCGGCAUCCAAAAUUUCACAAUUUUGUUCAGUAGUAAAUUUCCAAAAUAUAGUAUGUUAAUUUACC